UGAACUGAAAAUCGCAUUUGAAAACUCAGUUUGCUUAGUCAAUCAAUCAAUCAAUGUUUAUUGAUUAGCCCAAGGGCCAUCUCAAACUAUCACAGAGCCAAAUAGAACUCUAUAUAAAAACUCUAUGAAAGAGUUCUCUGAAGAUGCCAAAGCCACAGAUGCCACAAAACGCCAGGAAUAAACCCUUCUAGAACAUGGCCAGAGAACCCAAAAACCCAUAAAGACGAUGGAUGCCAGCCAUGAAAGCCUUCGACUUCACAUCUGUGUAAAAGGCGAGUUUUCCACAUUUGACUCCGAUAAGCAUUCGCUUGGAUGUGACUGGAGCUGUUCAGCUGGCUGCAAGAUGGUACAGAUGGGCAUCGAGCUCCAGCUCCUUUGGCUCAGCGUAGCAGCAGUACUCGCAGC
Sceloporus undulatus (fence lizard) is the source of this 405-nucleotide long non-coding RNA. RefSeq lists it as uncharacterized. NCBI's taxonomy places the organism in Eukaryota, Metazoa, Chordata, Lepidosauria, Squamata, Phrynosomatidae. The transcript is spliced from 3 exons. The record is from RefSeq and is a predicted model, not a curated record.